CUGCCCUAAAAACCUUCAAAAUUAAGUCUGCCUUUAUGCAAUGCUUAUCUUCAAGUGAUAACUGCUCUCCUCUGCCCAGUUCAGAGAUUAAAAGGCAAACCGGAAGGCUUUUUACCCGCCCCGAUCAGAGUUCAAGUUUCUUUAUUUCCCCAGAAACUACUGCUGAAUCACUAACACCUGAAAACAAAGCGAGAUCUGGAUUCUCCGUGCAGCCUCGGGCAUCGGUGAUUCAUCAAGCCCUGCACAAGGCACAACACAACUUGUAGGCCACGUGAGCCAAAACACCCCAACAAGAAAAACAAGUGGGAGGAAGGUGCCGCCUGGUUUCAGAUUCCCCUCUCUGCCAGUGUUUGCCUCGCCUGGCCAUGGCUGGCUGGCUCCCGUUGCGGCAUGCCCCAGAGUGCAGGAGAUGAAGGCUUGAAAUGUUGCUAUGCAGAAAAAAUUGAAAGCGAGGAAAAUCAAGUCAUGGUGUGCAAAGGAAGGGAGAGCGUUGACCAGGUUCCUGGAGAAAGGGUCUGCAUAGAGCCCACCACCUUCACCCAAACACCAGACAUCGGCUGCAAACCCACCGAUGGUGCUUGCAGCAGCGGUGGCCUCUUCAAAGGGUCCUGUUUUACUGAAUAGGGAUGUUUUCAGUCCUGUUAGCGCAGUCCUUCUCUGCAGCUGGGGUUCACACACCUAACCCUGGAGUAAGAAACUUGCAAAAAAAGGACUUAUUUUGAGAAAGCCGCUCAGAAACUGAGUAAAAAAUUGUUCAAGUAGGGCUUUUUUCCAUGCACUGGAAAACACAUCAACAACGUCUACUACAAAUCACAUUGGCCACAUUAAUAAUUAAGUAUAGGCUCUUCUCUCUCCGAUUUUACCUAGCUGUCAUGAAAACAGCUUGAUAAAAUAACUCUUUAUGAAUAAUCAACAGCAACAACAUUAACCCAGCAAGCUAUAAAUAAAAGAAGGGAGUGAAGACUAUAGGGCUGCCUCCGCCACGCACACACGCAAGCCACCUGGGAAAGACAAAACCAAGACAAAACCAGAAUAUAUAUAUUUGUCUCUCUAUAAAAAUACAACCGUGUUAAAAGAAUGAGAAUAAGAUCCAGGGAAACAACAGGAAUACCUCUAGCUAUCUUGCACGCUAGAUCUCAUCUUGUCCAUAGACAACAGGUGGCCUCACACAUAUCAUCGAGCAUCCUGUAACCCUCUCUGACGUCUCGUCCCAGCCACGUCAGCCAGCAGUUUAAUACAAAACACUACUGACAGAUACUGUAGGCAUCUGCCGAAUGCUAUGAGAGGCUCUUCGCGGUGUCUGAUCUACUUAGAUCAGGGUCCUGCGCUCUGAUUAUUACUUCAUGUUGUCUCAUCUACACGUUGGAAAGAUUAAGGAAUAAAACCCAACAAACGCCUUUGCACCCUCAGGAAAACCAAUUUUACAUCAUUGUUGUGCUUAAAAAGAGAAAAGUCCCACAGCAAACGGUUGAGGGUGCUUUUGCCUGUUUGCUUUCAUAAUGUCCCCUUUUCAUCAAAAGGUACGGUGGUAAUAACUGGGUCUGAUUUUUAAUAUUUCUGACUUAUUUUAGAUGUGUAUUUGAUAGUUCAGUGUAGCGUUGACCUAUUCUCAUAUCAAACCCCACUUGACUCCUUAUGAGUCCAACUUGAGUGAAACCAACUCCCUCGGAUUUUCCUGCCAACAUUAAUUUAGCAAUCUUAUUUAUAAAAAUAGCAAAAAAUUUCCAAAUAUGAAACACCAUUUUAUUCCCUGUUUACCAACUGUAUUCCAGAGCACUGUUGCUAUACACAAUAUGGACCGUGCAGCACAACAGGAGCUCUGCCAGUAAACUAAAAUAUUCAUGAGACGUAAGGUUGUGUGAGACUGUUAACAUGACUUGCCUCUCAUUUAGCACUCCAUCGGGCUGUAUCGAUGACAAUGUCACCAGUGACAACUCUUCCAGGCACCAGCAAAUAAGGGAAGAAGGCAAGAAACCCAACGUGCGCAAGCGCAGGGCAUGCAAAGCUGACUCAAGGCAGAUAGACAUGUAGGAAUAUUUAAUGGAUGUCUUCUCCUCUUGGUACAUGCAGAACCUACAGCCACGGAUCACCUGAAACAUCAUUACCCAGCAGAAUAACCAAUUCCCUCUCUAAAAACCAACCAAGAUGAUUGGAGAUGAUAAACACAAGAUGAUGACAUGGUAUCAGCAUUUUGAAGACCGCACUGGCACAAACAAACACAUUAGCAGGAAAUGUUGGGGGAAAAACAAACAUCUAUAAAAGCUACAUUCUGCUACAGACAUAACGGAGGAAAAAUAAAACAGCUGAACUGCUGGCUUUCCCAGUUGGCAGGUAUUUUAGAGCCUAAAGGGCCCUGAAAACUUAAUACAGUAUAAAAUUGCUGUAAUUUAAAAGACUUCUAAUUAAAAAGCUAUAGCAUUAACUUUUGGUCCUCUCUCAGCCCCCCACUUCUAUUCCUUAAACAUUUGCCUCAACUGUACAAUAAAAAUGAAAUAAAAAAAUGUAUGUAAUCACUGAAGGAACUGCAUCAAGCUGAAGAUUUAGAAACAGAAAACUAAAAAAUGCCAGAAAAUACAUGCAGGUUUCAAUUUACCCAAGACUACUGAUAUGUACAGCAACCCAAAGCCUUAAUUUUCCAUGAAAUCCACUAUGUAAUUUCUUUUUUGCUCAUUCCAGCUAGAUUACCAUUCUGAUUUGAUCACAGCCACUGCAUAGGAAAAACAGCCAUUAGCUCACCCGGUUCGUGCUGAUAGUGCAGGAUUGUCCCCUAGUACAGUUUCUGCAGUGACAUCCCAUCCAACGAUGCAGUCAAGAGUAACACAGCGUCCCCCACAACACUUAGCACUAUAGCAAGGCUCGCUAUUAGCAGCUCUCCCUGCGCCUUAGUCUGAAUCUCUCCUCUUUUCAAUUUGUAAGUCCUCAAAAUCCACCACUCGCUGGGAGAAUCUCUGCUGCCCCUCCGUGAAGGGCAGUCAUGACCACGGUCGAUGGCUGAAGACGGGACACAUGGGUACCUCACUGCUGCAUGACUCGCUAAUCUCGACAGUCUGCUGACUCACUGCAUUUCUGCUGCCUUUGCCAAAAGCUUCAUAAUUUAGUACAAAAUAACGGUGGUAGAGAUUCAGCUGCCUGCACUAUAGUGUCUAGUGCUGAUUUCAGUGUCCAAGGUAACUCGGACAUCUGCACCAGACUGGACCAUCUGCACCACAGGUCCUGCAGGAGACCUACGCUGUCAUGAAGCUGAAGAUCUGGUGGGGCACCCCAUCGCAUCUAUAGUAUCUGUAGUAACUUAUUUUCAAAGAAAUUGAGUCUCAUCCUUUCCAACUGAUCCCUGUAUGUCUGUUUUCAGUGAAAACCUCAACAGACUGUCUGCUGAAUACGUGCUAUACUACACAGACCUUCCCUGAUGAUACAGCCCAUAGCUAAGAUUAGCUACAUUUACAGGUCGGAUACUCAUCAUAGUUAUACACUGCAUCCUUUCAAAUGAGUCAUGGGGUUAUUCUUCUGCUCACACUUAUUUAAAGACACUUGGGUUGCGAUGCAUUUUCUGACCUGUCCAGGCACAUUUCCAUUUAUUUAUGCAACUGUGAUACCAGCUUUUCAGUGUCAUUACUCUAAAAACUGUGCAAGUCCUGCUGUUUGGGGAAACAUGUGACUGGGUUCUCCAUAAAUAGUGCAGAAAGACGUCAACUUAUUUUUCUUACUGCUUUGUCCACUCAGUGCUGUGCUAAACUUCUUGAGUACUCCCUGCUCUUCUCAGAGUGAGAAACCAUAGGAAACUGCAUGGUAUAACAUUGCCAGGAUGAUGCAUAAACUGCUAAUGUUCCAUUUAUUCUGAAUUCUUGAAUUCAUGGAUUUCUUCACCGUGAAAGUGGUGAGUCCCUGGCCCAGGU
Long non-coding RNA from Cuculus canorus (common cuckoo), 3893 nucleotides. RefSeq lists it as uncharacterized. The transcript is spliced from 4 exons. NCBI's taxonomy places the organism in Eukaryota, Metazoa, Chordata, Aves, Cuculiformes, Cuculidae. The record is from RefSeq and is a predicted model, not a curated record.